RNAcentral lists this unclassified non-coding RNA (348 nucleotides) under soil metagenome. Its description in RNAcentral is "partial contains 5.8S ribosomal RNA, internal transcribed spacer 2, and large subunit ribosomal RNA". The stretch from base 1 to 120 matches the Rfam family "5.8S ribosomal RNA", at positions 35 to 154 of the family's 154-position model. The record is from RNAcentral.
GAUGAAGAACGCAGCGAAAUGCGAUAAGUAAUGUGAAUUGCAGAAUUCAGUGAAUCAUCGAAUCUUUGAACGCACAUUGCGCCCGCCAGUAUUCUGGCGGGCAUGCCUGUCUGAGCGUCAUUUCAACCCUCAUGCCCCUAGGGCGUGGUGUUGGGGAUCGGCCAAAGCCCGCGAGGAACGGCCGGCCCCUAAAUCUAGUGGCGGACCCGUCGUGGCCUCCUCUGCGAAGUAGUGAUAUUCCGCAUCGGAGAGCGAUGAGCCCCUGCCGUUAAACCCCCAACUUUCCAAGGUUGACCUCAGAUCAGGUAGGAAUACCCGCUGAACUUAAGCAUAUCAAUAAGCGGAGGA